Molecule: ribosomal RNA, 466 nt
Filed under: uncultured bacterium
Lineage: Bacteria
Description: bacterial SSU rRNA
Rfam family: Bacterial small subunit ribosomal RNA
Source: RNAcentral
GACGAACGCUGGCGGCGUGCUUAACACAUGCAAGUCGAACGGUGACGAGGAGCUUGCUCCUCCGAUCAGUGGCGAACGGGUGAGUAACACGUGAGUAACCUGCCCCAGACUCUGGGAUAACAGUUGGAAACAGCUGCUAAUACCGGAUACGAGACGGAGAGGCAUCUCUACCGUCUGGAAAGUUUUUCGGUCUGGGAUGGACUCGCGGCCUAUCAGCUUGUUGGUGAGGUAAUGGCUCACCAAGGCGACGACGGGUAGCCGGCCUGAGAGGGCGACCAGCCACACUGGGACUGAGACACGGCCCAGACUCCUACGGGAGGCAGCAGUGGGGAAUAUUGCACAAUGGGCGAAAGCCUGAUGCAGCGACGCCGCGUGAGGGAUGACGGCCUUCGGGUUGUAAACCUCUUUCAGCAGGGAAGAAGCGAAAGUGACGGUACCUGCAGAAGAAGCACCGGCUAACUACGUG